AGAGUUUGAUCCUGGCUCAGGAUGAACGCUAGCGGCAGGCCUAAUACAUGCAAGUCGAACGGUGAUAGCAAUAUCAUAGUGGCGCACGGGUGCGUAACACGUAUGCAACCUACCUAUUAUUGGGGGAUAGCCUUUGGAAACGGAGAUUAAUACCGCAUAAUACGAUUGACUGGCAUCGGUUGAUUGUUAAAGCUUCGGCGAUAAUAGAUGGGCAUGCGUCCAAUUAGUUAGUUGGUUAGGUAACGGCUGACCAAGACGAUGAUUGGUAGGGGAUCUGAGAGGAUAAUCCCCCACACUGGCACUGAGAUACGGGCCAGACUCCUACGGGAGGCAGCAGUAGGGAAUAUUGGGCAAUGGGCGGAAGCCUGACCCAGCCAUGCCGCGUGCAGGAAGAAGGCGUUAUGCGUUGUAAACUGCUUUUUUAUAGGAAGAAGGAUCCCUUGCGAGGGAAGGUGACGGUACUAUAAGAAUAAGCACCGGCUAACUCCGUGCCAGCAGCCGCGGUAAUACGGAGGGUGCAAGCGUUGUCCGGAUUUAUUGGGUUUAAAGGGUGCGUAGGCGGUUUAUUAAGUCAGUGGUGAAAGACGGUCGCUCAACGAUUGCAGUGCCAUUGAUACUGGUAGACUUGAGUGAGAUUGAGGUAGCUGGAAUGGAUGGUGUAGCGGUGA
Molecule: ribosomal RNA, 668 nt
Filed under: uncultured bacterium
Lineage: Bacteria
Description: bacterial SSU rRNA
Rfam family: Bacterial small subunit ribosomal RNA
Source: RNAcentral